UACCAGCUUCUACCUCCUCUCCUUCUACGUGAAAACCUCCUCUCCUUCUAUUGUUAAGUGUAUUAUUCUCGAAUAACAAAUCAACAAAGUGUGGUUUUAGGGUUUUAGGGUUUUGUAAUGGCGUUGAGACCGGAGCGAGUAGCACCACCAGAGAUAUUCUUCGACGAUACCGAAGCUCACAAGUACACUUCUUCUUCCCGUAUCAUCGAAUUCCCUUCUAUCUCUUUCUCUCUGAUAGGGGUCCUCUUCUGUUUUAAAACCACUGUACCGAAUUUCCUUCUUCACGACUCACUUCCCGGUAGCAACUUCCGCGAGAACGGAAUCCUCGAAGAAUAAUAUGAAUCCCUUUCUUCCAUCGAUGGAAACGAUUCCAACAAAUGCACCGAUUUCUACGAUAUCUAUUGUCCUGAGGCUGAAGCCGAAGUUUUUUUCAAGAUAGAUCAACUCUCAAUUCUGCUAAUAAACCUCUUAUUCACAAAGUGGUUAGGCUCUAUAUGCCAGGCCUGGAUGCAGCUUUGUACUUGUCAUUGUCCAGAUCGCUUCCUAAUUUAAAAAAUUUAAAAAAACCGUGUGGCAAACCAGGACCAGUCCUUGCUCUCAGGUCUGUUGAAACUUGAAAAUGCAUUCUGUUAUUUUUUUCCUUCAAAAUGUUGCGUCUCUGAAUUCAAUUUCUUUUUCAUUUGGUUAGAUGUAUAUCAGAUAAUAUGUAGACAAUAGAGUGAUAGACACACUAUUAACAUGUAGGCAGAAAAGAAAAAGGGAUCUAAAUGGUUCAGUUACACCGAAAUCUAAUUAGACAUCACAACAAGAAGAAGGUUGUAGUGCUACCCUCAAUUCACGGAGCUUACUAAAUACACACCUUUCCCUGUAUGAAACAUGUGACAUUUUCAGGGGACUGCAUCUGUUGUUCUUGCUAGAGUUGUAGCAGCCUUGAAGCUCAUCGGUGGCACUCAUUCCUCUUCCUUGAUGCUGGAGAAGUACGAUCAUAACUAACCUAGACAGGGUUAUGUUUUCAGGCGGGAACUGGUAUAGCUGAGCCAAUUGCUCUUGAGAUGUCAAAGCAGCAGACUAAAACACCUAAUGAAGAGAGUCGUAGGAAGAUAUGGCUUGUAGAUUCAAAGGGUUUAAUUGUUAGUUCACGGGCAAAUUCACUUCAACACUUCAAGAAGCCUUGGGCUCAUGAACACGAACCUGUUUGCACUCUCAUUGAGACUGUUAAGGUCUAUCGUCAUUUUGAUAUGAAACAAGGGAAGAUUACUCUUUUAGAGUCUAGAGUAGAACAAUUGUGUCAACAAUAGUUUAUGCCAUAUAACAAGGACCAGAAUGAAGACUUAUUGGAUUCCUUGCUACUUCAUUGAAGCUGCUUAAGUUACCUGUUCCACUGAUGUUGGCAAUAAAAUAUGACCGAGCUUUAUUUAUUGGAAAGUCACUUUUGGUCAUGAAGGAAUCACAUUUGACUUGAGAGUUAGGUAAUUUACACAGAUCCUAGCUCUCUAUCUUUUUAAUGUGCUAACUUAUCAAGAUCACGAAGAGUAUCAGAUGAUGGUUAGAGAUGAGCUUUGGGAGUAAUUAAUUAGAUUAUGAAUUUUAUUAUUUAUUAUGUAUUUUUGGCAUAAUGAUACUUAUUAUUAUAAGAUUAGGAUUUGAUAUAUUUUCGGUUUAUGGUACUACAUGACAUGAUUAUGGAACUCGCAUUUUACAUGA
RNA transcript from Vicia villosa (hairy vetch), 1704 nucleotides. It is a transcript of the gene named NADP-dependent malic enzyme-like, with no coding region annotated. Lineage: Eukaryota; Viridiplantae; Streptophyta; Magnoliopsida; Fabales; Fabaceae. The transcript has 9 exons. The record is from RefSeq and is a predicted model, not a curated record.